UCUCCCCUCUUCUUCUUUUCUCUUUCCUCUCUUUUCCAAUCCCCUCUUUGUUUCGUUCUUAUCCUCCUUCUUUCCACUCUUUCUCGUCCUCCUUUCUUGUGUUAAAAAAAAAUGGCGAAGGUGGCUACACAAAUUGAAAUUUGUGUAUUUGAGGUUCGAUCAAUUUCGUGACGUUGAGGGUUUUUUUUGUCAAAUUUGACGAUAAAAAUUCCAAAUCUGGAGAUUUUAUGGUCGAAUUUGACAAUCAACACCGAAAAAAGAUGAAAUUUUCGAAGGUUUUUGAUGAUUUGAUGCAUAUUGUAUCUUUGUGUAAGGUGGUGGUGGGAAGGGGGAUAUAAUGGUGGUGCACUGGUGCGAAAGGCUGUUGAGGGAAUUGGGGGCAGGGAAGCCUAAGUAAGAGUGGGACAGAGGAAGGGCUUUUUUUUGUGACGGCCAACCGUCGGUAAUACCAUCUUACGACGAUUUUGUUUUCUCUCAUAACUUACGACGGUUUUAAACUGCUGUAAAAUAAUUACAGCGACAAAAUAAAAAACUAUCGUUGAAAUUAGCAAAGCUGUCGUAAAAAUUCUUACGACAGUCAAACUGUUGCAAAAAUAAAAAUUUUACAACAAUUCUGACUGUAACAAACAGUUUACGAUAGUUGACUGUUGCAACUAUUUUUUGUGACAGUUUUUGCUAUUUGUUGCAACAAAUUUGGAUGUCGCAAAAUAGCUUAUCUUGUAGUGU
Chenopodium quinoa (quinoa) is the source of this 726-nucleotide long non-coding RNA. RefSeq lists it as uncharacterized. Lineage: Eukaryota; Viridiplantae; Streptophyta; Magnoliopsida; Caryophyllales; Amaranthaceae. The record is from RefSeq and is a predicted model, not a curated record. The transcript has 2 exons.